CCCUUAGAUGUCCUGGGCCGCACGCGCGCUACACUGACAUGUUCAACAAGUUUCUCCUAGUUCGACAGGACUGGGAAAUCUUUGAACGCAUGUCGUGAUCGGGAUAGAUCAUUGCAAUUAUUGAUCUUGAACGAGGAAUUCCUAGUAAACGCGAGUCAUCAGCUCGCAUUGAUUACGUCCCUGCCCUUUGUACACACCGCCCGUCGCACCUACCGAUUGAAUGUUUCGGUGAAGAUUCCGGAUAGGACUGAUUUGAUUUAUUUCAUUUCUGACCUAAAAGCUAUCUAAACCUCAACAUUUAGAGGAAGGUGAAGUCGUAACA
This 322-nucleotide ribosomal RNA is filed under the name uncultured eukaryote. RNAcentral describes it as "partial 18S ribosomal RNA". It matches the Rfam family "Eukaryotic small subunit ribosomal RNA", at positions 1470 to 1796 of the family's 1831-position model. The record is from RNAcentral.